Molecule: long non-coding RNA, 2092 nt
Filed under: Homo sapiens (human)
Lineage: Eukaryota; Metazoa; Chordata; Mammalia; Primates; Hominidae
Description: HSALNT0232423
Source: RNAcentral
UGCGUCUCAGUUUGCCUCAGACUUAAGUGGCUGGUGGAAGUGAGAGAUCUCUAAAGAUUCACCCAAUCCCAUUGUUCUAAGGUAAUAAAUCCUAUAAUUGCUGUAUCCUCAGAACCCAGCACGGGGCACUGCAUACGGUAGAUCUGCUUAACCAUGUACCAAAUGCAUCCGCCUCUUCCCCAACAUCCAUUACUACUGGAACCCACCAAGAACUGAAUUCCAUGGUACUUCUCAGGAUUCUUGAGGUCUGGACUAAGCCCUGGAUUGGGAAAGACGUGUUUAUGAUGCAGACCAGUUGGGGAGAUUUUUCUUGAAGGAGCAGCAGCUUGGGAAUAGCUGACCUGGUGAGAGCAUUCCUCUUCAUCUUGGCUCUGUCUGCUGUAGUUGGGGGUGAGUAGGGGUUUCAGCAGUAGAGGAAUGGGAGCCCAGAGAGACGGUGAUGAAUGAGAAGGAGACAAACAGCUCUAGCCUGUGUGCUCCUGUCUUGUUGAGGCUGAGGGCCUGCAGGGACAUUCUGAGUGAAGAACAUGCCAGGCCCACCUGUGGACUCCAGUCGCUGGUGAUGAAGCACCUGUCAUUCUGGAUAAGGAUAGCAUGUUCAUAAAAGGGAAAUGAGUGGAGAAGGAGGGAAGGAGUUGUGAGCAAAGCAUUUAAAGCGUUGCCAGAAUAUAAGCAACAGUGCUUCAUGUCGUGAAAAACUGAGAAAAGGAGUCUUUAUGUACAGGAAGAACUCAGCAGCUGACCUCAAGAAGAAAGGAAAACAUCCUCUCUUCACUUUUCUCUGGGAUGCCUGUGCCCAGGGUCUUGAGUUUCCGACUGGGGCAUAAUGGAUUUUUGGUGGCCUGUGACUUUAUUAUGGGUCUUUUCCCAAAGUGUUUUGAAAUGGUAUGAAAGAGUGUAUUCAGUUAGAAACCUUGAGUUCUACUCCCAGGCUACUUAGAGGUUGUUUUGCAAACUUGAACAAGUCAAGUAAACCUGACUUCAACUCUACGCAAUGGAUUAUGCAAUGGUUGAAGUUCUAAGCUUGGAAGUUUCCAAUGAGAACAAAUAGGGGUGGUGAGAGCUGCCCUGCCCCUUUCAGGGACAUUAAGAGGGUCACCAGGCAGGUGAAUGUGACAGUGCCCUAAAGUUAUGAAGAAAUCUGUGCAAAACUGUAUGUUGUUAUAGUUCUUCUUGGGGCUGAUGCACCGUGACCCCUUCAACAGUUGAUGAAUCAUGGGAUAAUUGUUGAUGAGUCAUGGGAUAGGUGCUGCUUCAAGGGAUGUGGAUGUAGGUUGGACAGAGGCCGACCCCAACUCUCUACUCAUUUGCACUGUGCAUGGCAAAUUUGUUCUGGGAGUUUCUGCUUUGCUCCUGUCUUAAGCCAUCAGACCACGUGUUCAGUAGUCCAGCCCUGGCCACAGCCUCUCUGCCUGGCUGGGCCCAGGCUACUUCUAAACUCUCUGUUUUUUUUAUUUUAUUUUAUUUUUAUUUUUUUUUAUUUCAGAUUUUAUCCAACAUGGAUGUCUUGAUCCAAGAGAAAAAAAGGGAUCCCUUCAAAGUCCUUUCCCCAGUUUCCUGCUUAGUCCCACUCCUAGAGCCCUAGGGGGUUCUGUAGCUCCUCUAUAUUUUCAGGGAACUGAGCUGAAGCCAAUACGAGAUUUUAAAAGAUACCCUAUCCUUAAGCAAAGUGCAGAUCCUGAGACUCAGAGAGGUUAAGAAACUCGCCCAACGCCACACAGCUAGAUAAACACCUCAGGAUUUAAAUAGAUUGCAGGGGACACCAACAAGGCUCUGCUCAGAUCCCCUCAGAUCCCUCUGGCCCAUCUGUGCAUGCAGUAACAUCUGCUUCACCGUUGACUGCUUGAACCUGUGGAUCCACUUCACCUAAGAGCACAGAGAGCUGAAAGGGCCUGGAAUCCUGUUGCCUCCCGGGCAGCCUGCAGCCAAUGAGUAACUGGUGCUGGAAAACAGAAGGCUGCUCCCUUGCUGGAGCCACCAUCUCAGGACAUCCUCUGGCUGCUGUCUGGAGCCCGAUGAAAGGACCAUUCUGGCCAGAGUGGUUCAUGAGCUCAGUGCAGUGGGCAGCAGAGGCACCAGUCAAGCCCUGGAG